CCCGCCGGACCUGACUGCUAUCGGAUUGAUACUAAGCCAUGCGAGUCAUUGUAGCAAUACAAGGCAGACGGCUCAGUAACGCGUAGUCAACCUAACCUAUGGACGGGAAUAACCUCGGGAAACUGAGAAUAAUGCCCGAUAGAACACUAUGCCUGGAAUGGUUUGUGUUCCAAAUGAUUUAUCGCCGUAGGAUGGGACUGCGGCCUAUCAGUUUGUUGGUGAGGUAAUGGCCCACCAAGACUAUUACAGGUACGGGCUCUGAGAGGAGUAGCCCGGAGAUGGGUACUGAGACACGGACCCAGGCCCUAUGGGGCGCAGCAGGCGAGAAAACUUUGCAAUGUGCGAAAGCACGACAAGGUUAAUCCGAGUGGUUUCUGCUAAAGGAACCUUUUGUCGGUCCUAGAAACACCGAUGAAUAAGGGGUGGGCAAGUUCUGGUGUCAGCCGCCGCGGUAAAACCAGCACCUCAAGUGGUCAGGAUGAUUAUUGGGCCUAAAGCAUCCGUAGCCUGCUUUGUUAGUUUUCGGUUAAAUCUAUACGCUCAACGUAUAGGCUGCCGGGAAUACUGCAAAGCUAGGGAGUGGGAGAGGUAGACGGUACUCGGUAGGAAGGGGUAAAAUCCUUUGAUCUAUUGAUGACCACCUGUGGCGAAGGCGGUCUACCAGAACACGUCCGACGGUGAGGGAUGAAAGCUGGGGGAGCAAACCGGAUUAGAUACCCGGGUAGUCCCAGCCGUAAACCAUGCAAACUCAGUGAUGCAUUGGCUUGUGGCCAAUGCAGUGCUGCAGGGAAGCCGCUAAGUUUGCCGCCUGGGAAGUACGUACGCAAGUAUGAAACUUAAAGGAAUUGGCGGGGGAGCACCACAA
RNAcentral lists this ribosomal RNA (865 nucleotides) under uncultured archaeon. Its description in RNAcentral is "bacterial SSU rRNA". It matches the Rfam family "Archaeal small subunit ribosomal RNA", at positions 13 to 884 of the family's 1478-position model. The record is from RNAcentral.